GUGUGUGUGUGGGGGGGGUUCUUUGUUGCCUCGUCUGUGUCUCUUCCUUUCCUUUUUCUGUUCUUUCGCGGCCAAACCCCUCCCCUCCCCCGCUGGGGGCGACCGAGCUGAAACAACCCCGUGGACCUGUCAAGGGCCCCGCCCACUCUGACUCUUGAAGAAGGGGGUCUAGCUUUUUCUGUCGAGCCUCCUGUCUGUAAAAGGUGCGGCGUGGCUUCCAGGACUGGUCUCUGGAAAAAGAGACCCAGCUUCCACUUUCACGGAGCUUGUAAAAGCAGGGGUUGUAUAGAGAGCUUCAAUUGGGGGCCUAGGGACAUUAGCCCAGCGGCAGAGCGCCCGCCGGAAAGGCAUGCGGCCCUGGGUUCGAUCCCCAAUGAGGCAAAACAGAAUAAUAAUGAGAAAUAGGAAGUGUGGAGUGGGGUUAACAGAUCCGGCUUGUCUUACUGGCCUUGAGACCUUGGGCCAAUCAAGUUGUUUUCGACUCAGUUUGCUGAUGUGUAAAAUAGGGGCGGUAGGCCCCACCUCGGAGGCUGGUUGUGAGGUAAAAAUGAGAUGCGCAGAAGGGCCCCUGCGUGAGUCAGCAUUCACUAGUGGCUGAGUGGGAUGUUAGCACCUAAUGGUAACACCCUGUGCUUCGCUGUUUUCAGAUUGUUUCACAUACAUCUGUCUCACUCCGCUCACAGCGUCACGAACCUCUUGGGGACACAACAGCCUAGCACAUCGUAAGGAUUCGAUGGAUGGCUUGGUUUGGGUUGCAGGAGACUGGGGAAAUUUUCUGCAAAGACACUGAGGUUUCCAUCUGGGGCGGGAGCAAAGAGAGUGUGAGAAUUUCCGUGGCUGAAAUGUCAAAUGUGUGUGUUUCCUCAGCAGACAGGGCAGGGGGAGAGAGAUAAAGUGCAUUCCAAUUGGGCUAUGCCGGCCUCCUGUGACAGCCCGCCUGUGGAGCAGAGGAGAACACAGCUGAGUAAACCUGGGUGAGGAGGAAUGAAUGCAGCAGGAGGAUGCUCAGGAGGAGAGGGGGCCAGUGGGAAGCUGGCACUGAAACCUCACGGCUGCACAGGUUGAGGCUCUGGAAAUGCCAGAAUGUGGCUGCAUCUGGAAAAACAACCGAAUGGCAAACCACCACCACCAUGAGUAAGGAAGGUCGUGAUGAACAAACCCGUGAUUGAGCCCAACAAUGCUUUUCUCCCCACCCCCUUGAAGACACCACAGGGCUGUAGCCGCAGGAGAGAAACCUGCUGAGAUCGGAAAACAGUUCUUUUACCUAGUUUUUACUUUUGUGUUACUUCUUUUAGUGUGUGUGUGUGUGUGUGUGUGUGUGUGUGUGCGCGCGCGCGCGCGCGCGCAUGGGUGUACAAGCACACUGUACAGCACAGGUGUUAGAGGUCAGAGGACAACCUUCAGGAGUCAGUGGGUCCUGACAGGCUUGGUGACACCUUUCCCUCAUGAACCAUCUCACCAGCCCAGAAAAUGCCUCUUUUAUGAGAGAUGCUUGCAAGGCCUGCCAUCUAGAGACAGCUGAAAACUAUUUUCCAGGCGUGGGUGGAGCUCUUAAGAUUAAGAACACUACCAUAUAUAAACAGGCUCGGGCGUGCAUGCCUGUCGGUUCAGCACUUAAGGAGGCCGAGGCAGGAGGAUUUCCAAUUCAGCCUUUAAGUGUGGUGGCUCAUCCCUUUAAUCCUAGCACUCUGGCGGUAGAGGAAGGGAGGCAGACGGGACAGACAGACACGCAGACCCACAGAGAUCUAUUGUGUAAUAUGUAACUCCGGCCAGUUCCGUUAAUUUUUAUCAGCAAAGAAAACAAAAGUGCAGAGAAACGACCUAAGAUCAUGCAGCUGAGGAAGAGACGAGAAAUGUUAUCUCAGCCUCUCUCUCAAAUCCUUGGCUCAGUCUCGAGGCAAAUCUAUCAACGAGGCCAUCUCUGUUUCAAGAGGAGCCUCUAUUGAGCAUAGCUCUCAUUACCAUCAUCAUUUCGUUACUAUCAUGAUCAAUAGCAUCAUUUGGUCACCCACUCAGCGACACCGGAGCAGUGAUGCUUUCUCUGACUGCUAAGCUCCUCCUCAGUACUGGACACAGAGCAGGCCAGCUGCUCUGCCCCCGUCAGACACCAGUCUCCUGCAAGCUGCCAAGAGCCAGGCACAGGAAGAAAAUAAGCAAGUUGGUGUUGGCCUGGAGCUGAGUCAUAAAGACUCCUGGGAGUCUGCAGGAAGGUGACUGGCUUACUGUUUGUGAGCAAACAGCUCUCAGCUCUUGGAGGCAGAAGGAAAAUCACUUCCUGCCCUUCCGGCUGGCAGAGUACCAGCAGGGCAGGUGAUCUUCUGCGCCUGGGGGUGAGCCUCAGCCUGGCAUUGCUGUUUUGUUUUGUUUUUUUUUAACUGCCCUUCCUUGCCAAUCAACUGGUUUAUAUCUUUUAAUUGUUUUUAAAUUGUGUGCUCUGUGCCAGGGGUGAUUUUCACACUGCCCUCAGUGUUAAAACCUAUGAUGCUCUAUGAAAUGCUACGUAGGGAGCUGUGUUUGCCUCCCCGGAGGAUGUGGGUGGAGCUCAGCAGGUGGGGAUAAUCUGGCUGCCUCCUGUGUUCCCCCUCAACACAGCUCUGGCCUUCUGACCACCAGUGUGAAUCAGAAAUUUGGAAGGCAAAGAAGCCAGAGUCCUGGGGAAAUAAGUCAGUUUUGUCACUGCCCUGGCCAGCCAAAAAAAAAAAAGAGCUAGCUUAAGAAAGAUGGAAGAGCUGGGGCACCUGGAGGGUUUCUGUUCUUCGUGAAGAUUUAGAGAACGUGCUCCUUAGUGAGAAGGAGAAAAGUACCAUUAGUAAGAAAAAUCUAGAAUGCCAAAGGCUAAAGGCCAUCCAGCAGUUGCUAGUGUAUUCAACAUCAGUGAGGAAGGUCACAAACACCCAGAAGGACCUGUGGCCUAACGAAGAAAUGUCCCGAUGUGUUCAAACAUUUGUUCCCCAGUUGGUGGCUCAGUUUCGGAAGGUUGUAGAAUCUUUUACAGUGGAGCCUACCUGGAGGAAGUGGGCCACCAAGAGUAGGCCCUGUGAGUUUUAGGACCUAACCACACUUGUCUGCUCUCUGCCUCCUGUUUCAACAAGCUAGGAGGGGAAGGGUCCCAGCUGUACCCUCCUGCCACCUUGGGGCUGCCUGUAUCAUAUCUUCCUCUCCCUGGUAGAUUGUACUCCCAGACUCUGAGCUAAAAUAAACCCACUGUUCUUUAA
Meriones unguiculatus (Mongolian gerbil) is the source of this 3215-nucleotide long non-coding RNA. RefSeq lists it as uncharacterized. Lineage: Eukaryota; Metazoa; Chordata; Mammalia; Rodentia; Muridae. The record is from RefSeq and is a predicted model, not a curated record. The transcript has 2 exons.